CCAGGUGACAUAUAGCGGAGGGGAAACACCCGUUUCCAUCCCGAACACGGCAGUUAAGCCCUCCUGCGCCGAUGGUACUUGUCGGGCAACUGACUGGGAGAGUAGGACGUCGCCUGGU
RNAcentral lists this ribosomal RNA (118 nucleotides) under Candidatus Bipolaricaulota bacterium. Lineage: Bacteria; Candidatus Bipolaricaulota. The record is from RNAcentral.